CGUCGGCGAUCUGCGGGCAGAUCAGAUGGACGUGCGCGUCGAUGGCGCCCGCCGUCACGAUCCGGCCGUUGCCGGCGAUGAUCUCGGUCUCGGGACCGAUGACCAGGUCGGGAUGGAUCCCGUCCAUCGUGUCGGGGUUGCCCGCCUUGCCGAUACCGGUGAUCCGGCCGUCGCGGAUGCCGAUGUCGGCCUUGACGAUCCCCCAGUGGUCGACGAUCACCGCCCCCGUGAUGACCGUGUCCGGGGUGCCGUCCGCGCGCGUGGCGCGCGCCUGGCCCAUGGACUCGCGGAUG
Streptomyces sp. NRRL WC-3618 is the source of this 293-nucleotide small RNA. It matches the Rfam family "5' ureB small RNA". The record is from Rfam. Lineage: Bacteria; Bacillati; Actinomycetota; Actinomycetes; Kitasatosporales; Streptomycetaceae.